AUGCUGCUUGUGAAGUUCUUGAACCUCCGGAGGACAGACAUUAAAGAGCUUCCUUCCAAAAUUGGAAGGCUCAAGCAUUUGGAAACUCUUGAUAUACGGGAGACAAAUGUCAGAGAACUGCCUGAUUCUAUUGUCCAGCUUGAGAAGAUAAGUGACAUACUUGGGGGAAACAAACACACACGAGAAACACUCAAGUUGCCUCAAGAAAUUGGGAAGAAGCCAAUGAAAUCCCUCCGUAUACUUUCAGGGAUUGAGAUUGUUGGAGGAUCUAGUGGUAUGCCGGACCUCCAUGAAUACACCGGGUUGAAGAAGCUUACCAUUUACAAGCUGAACAUCCAAGAGAAGGAUCCAAGCUUCAAAACAUUUGUUUCCUCCAUCGAAUACCUUGGUGGCUGCUCACUCAAGACUCUUUCCAUAGAUGACCAGGCCUCAGACUUGCUCAACUCACUAGAUUCUCUGACUUCACCUCCCAAGUACCUCACCGGGCUUGAGCUGCACGGCAUGCUGACCAAAUUUCCUCAGUGGAUCCAACAACUGAGCGACCUCAGCAAGUUAACUCUUUCCAUGACAGUCCUCCGGACUGACACUAUCGAGCUUCUGAGCAAGCUACCGUCGCUGUUUUCUCUCACCUUCUCCUUCAGUGCAGCAAAGGAGGUUCCAUACUUCGGUGACAUCCUUCACAAGAACAAAUCUGACUCUGAAGGUGAGAUCGUCGUCCCAGAUGGAGGAUUCGAGGCCCUAAAGCUGCUCCGCUUCGCCACGCCUGUCCUGCCCCUGCUGAUCUUCUCAGAGAAGGCCAUGCCGGUGGUCGGGCGGCUUGAGAUGAGUUUCAAGGUGCUGGAAGGUGUCUUCGGCAUGGACAACCUUGCCGGACUCCAGGAGGUGCAUCUCCGGGUGAGCGACAAGGCUGGUAAAUUCACCAGGUCGACGCUAGCUCGCCUAGUAAAGCAGGCAAGGAAGUCCGCCAAGGCGCCCAGGGUAGUAGUUGAUGAAUACUACGACGGGUUCAAAUAA
This 1014-nucleotide ribosomal RNA is filed under the name Triticum aestivum (bread wheat). Its description in RNAcentral is "partial small subunit ribosomal RNA". Lineage: Eukaryota; Viridiplantae; Streptophyta; Magnoliopsida; Poales; Poaceae. The record is from RNAcentral.